This 422-nucleotide unclassified non-coding RNA is filed under the name Hevea brasiliensis (rubber tree). Lineage: Eukaryota; Viridiplantae; Streptophyta; Magnoliopsida; Malpighiales; Euphorbiaceae. The record is from RNAcentral.
AAUGAACCCUCGAAGGAUACUCAGCUAUUGCUCUGCUUCUGGGAGGAGGGAUUUCCUCACGCCGUCCAUACUCCCUCUUCAAGCUACUCUUUGGAUAUGAGGGAACAGGUGGUCUUCGGUCAUAUGAUCUGCUAGAUGGUGGAGCUGUGGGUCUUCCCCUAGGAGGCAAAUCCAUCACAGCCCGUCUAUCUCUCGAUCCUGCAGGUCGCUUAAAACCACGACUAACUACAGGAGGCACACGUGUACUAACUCUAGUCCCUCGAAUAGCACGACUAUGUGGCACUAUACGACCCCAAGGGGCACGUGGACCAUGCAUGGACAUACGCCAAGGUCGCAAAUCUCCUCGUCCACCAUAUUUCGCUCUGCCCCUCUCAAGGGGUCUUGAUAAUCUGGCCCUAACUUUAACCUUGUUAUCUCCUUCA